RNAcentral lists this ribosomal RNA (253 nucleotides) under uncultured bacterium. RNAcentral's name for it is "partial 16S ribosomal RNA". It matches the Rfam family "Bacterial small subunit ribosomal RNA", at positions 524 to 776 of the family's 1533-position model. The record is from RNAcentral.
UACGUAGGGUCCGAGCGUUGUCCGGAAUUACUGGGCGUAAAGCGCACGUAGGCGGCUUGGUAUGUCGGGUGUGAAAUCCCCGGGCUCAACCUGGGAACUGCAUCCGAAACUGCCUUGCUCGAGUAUGGGAGAGGGAAGUGGAAUUUCCGGUGUAGCGGUGAAAUGCGUAGAUAUCGGAAGGAACAUCAGUGGCGAAGGCGACUUCCUGGACCAAUACUGACGCUCAGGUGCGAAAGCGUGGGGAGCAAACAGG